RNAcentral lists this ribosomal RNA (497 nucleotides) under uncultured bacterium. RNAcentral's name for it is "partial 16S ribosomal RNA". It matches the Rfam family "Bacterial small subunit ribosomal RNA", at positions 28 to 507 of the family's 1533-position model. The record is from RNAcentral.
GACGAACGCUGGCGGCGUGCCUAAUACAUGCAAGUUGAGCGCUGAAGGUUGGUCCUUGUACCAACUGGAUGAGCAGCGAACGGGUGAGUAACGCGUGGGGAAUCUGCCUUUGAGCGGGGGACAACAUUUGGAAACGAAUGCUAAUACCGCAUAAAAACUUUAAACACAAGUUUUAAGUUUGAAAGAUGCAAUUGCAUCACUCAAAGAUGAUCCCGCGUUGUAUUAGCUAGUUGGUGAGGUAAAGGCUCACCAAGGCGAUGAUACAUAGCCGACCUGAGAGGGUGAUCGGCCACAUUGGGACUGAGACACGGCCCAAACUCCUACGGGAGGCAGCAGUAGGGAAUCUUCGGCAAUGGACGAAAGGCUGACCGAGCAACGCCGCGUGAGUGAAGAAGGUUUUCGGAUCGUAAAACUCUGUUGGUAGAGAAGAACGUUGGUGAGAGUGGAAAGCUCAUCAAGUGACGGUAACUACCCAGAAAGGGACGGCUAACUACGUG